CAAGAGGUAGUUUAAUUUAAAAUAUUAAUUUUGGAGAUUAAAGAUAAGAAUUAGUUUUUUUUCUUGA
Molecule: transfer RNA, 67 nt
Filed under: Limnophyes minimus
Lineage: Eukaryota; Metazoa; Arthropoda; Insecta; Diptera; Chironomidae
Description: tRNA-Pro
Source: RNAcentral